GUGCAGCAGGCGCGAAUAUUCCUCAAUGCCCGCAAGGGUGAAGGAGCGACGCCGCGUGCAGGAAGACGCACCUCGGUGUGUAAACUGCUUUUAUCAGGAAAGAAACUUCGGUUGACGGUACCUGAUGAAUAAGGACCUCCUAAUUUCGUGCCAGCAGGAGCGGUAAUACGAAAGGUCCAAGCGUUAUCCGGUUUUAUUGGGCGUAAAGCGUCCGCAGGCGGUCAGAAAAGUUUUUAGUCAAAUCCCGGGGGCCUAACCCCGGCAAGGCUAAAAAAACUCUACUGACUAGAGGGUGGGAAAGGCGAGUGGAAUGGCUGGUGUAGGAGUAAAAUCCGUUAAUAUCAGCUGGAACACCAAAGGCGAAGGCAGCUCGCUGGAACACACCUGACGCUCAGGGACGAAAGCGUGGGUAGCGAAGGGGAUUAGAUACCCCUGUAGU
This 439-nucleotide ribosomal RNA is filed under the name uncultured microorganism. RNAcentral describes it as "bacterial SSU rRNA". It matches the Rfam family "Bacterial small subunit ribosomal RNA", at positions 346 to 794 of the family's 1533-position model. The record is from RNAcentral.